RNAcentral lists this ribosomal RNA (164 nucleotides) under Goodenia angustifolia. RNAcentral describes it as "5.8S ribosomal RNA". It matches the Rfam family "5.8S ribosomal RNA". From Rfam's summary of the family: 5.8S ribosomal RNA (5.8S rRNA) is a component of the large subunit of the eukaryotic ribosome. The record is from RNAcentral. Lineage: Eukaryota; Viridiplantae; Streptophyta; Magnoliopsida; Asterales; Goodeniaceae.
CUAACGACUCUCGGCAACGGAUAUCUCGGCUCAUGCAUCGAUGAAGAACGUAGCGAAAUGCGAUACUUGGUGUGAAUUGCAGAAUCCCGUGAACCAUCGAGUCUUUGAACGCAAGUUGCGCCCGAAGCCAUUCGGCCAAGGGCACGUCUGCCUGGGCGUCACGC